RNAcentral lists this ribosomal RNA (253 nucleotides) under uncultured bacterium. RNAcentral's name for it is "partial 16S ribosomal RNA". It matches the Rfam family "Bacterial small subunit ribosomal RNA", at positions 524 to 776 of the family's 1533-position model. The record is from RNAcentral.
UACGUAGGGUACUAGCGUUGUCCGGAUUUAUUGGGCGUAAAGGGCUUGUAGGUGGUUUGUCGCGUCUGUCGUGAAAUCCUGUGGCUUAACCAUGGGCUUGCGGUGGGUACGGGCAGGCUUGAGUGCGGUAGGGGAGACUGGAAUUCCUGGUGUAGCGGUGGAAUGCGCAGAUAUCAGGAGGAACACCGGUGGCGAAGGCGGGUCUCUGGGCCGUUACUGACACUGAGGAGCGAAAGCGUGGGGAGCGAACAGG